This is a long non-coding RNA of Pseudophryne corroboree (corroboree frog), 983 nucleotides long. RefSeq lists it as uncharacterized. NCBI's taxonomy places the organism in Eukaryota, Metazoa, Chordata, Amphibia, Anura, Myobatrachidae. The transcript is spliced from 3 exons. The record is from RefSeq and is a predicted model, not a curated record.
CUGCUAGAACAAAUUUGCAGUCUUCCGGUAUGAGUAACCAGUGUUCAAGCAAGUGUGAAAUGUCAUAGAUGAAGCAGUAUUGUAGCCAUGCUGUCUAUGAUGAUAUGCUCAUGCACAUUCUUGUAGUAACCGCAUGGGGGGGCGCACGCCGAUAGGCAGUGGGAGAGCCGCGGCGGUUGCUAUGGAGACCUAGUUGCCAGCCGGACGGGCGCCAGGGUGACGUCAGUUUCGGAAGUACGUCACUUUUGCCGGACGGGAGGACGACGGACGCCAGCACCUGCGGACAUCUGCAUCUUAUAAAAGAUUCCUGGGAGGAGCUUGGAAGAAGCUAAAUUUGCAAUAUCAAAUUCCGAAGAAAUUCAAUUCUUCAUAUCUGUUUUUAGAUGAGGAUUUGGGUUAAGAAGAAUAAUUCACCUCAGGUGGCAAAAACCACUACCAUCACCAUUCCUGAUUCAAUGUCCAUAAAGGAUAGCUCUGAUAGGAAAUGUCACGGGAUCAUUAAAUAAAUCUGAGUCCCUACUGGGGCGUCUGUCCUGCUACACCAACCUCGUCAGUAUUGUGGUGAAGCUUCCGUGGUGACUGGCCAUCUGACCACAUUUCCUCAGUCAGGGCCCAUAUUUUCGACAGUACACAGCUCUUUAGGCCUUUAUAGCAUGGUUUUUGAAGGCAUGAUCCUCAAUGUUAAGGGCUUUGAACAGGUAAAUCAGACCAGGAUUAAGGUCAGGAAACCAGCAUCUAUAGUGAAUUACCACGUUUGGAAGAGUUACAUUUGCUGUGUGAAAGAACGUGGAUCCACACAUCUUUGUUCAAGCUCAAUCUUAUGCUUUUCCAUAUUUUUCCAAUGCAAGCUGGCCAUCAUCCCUGAACUUGACAAGUGACAAAGCAGUUGGGACUUCGAUGGAUCACAGCGGCUACACGAUAAGCGCCUCAACUGGUGCAACACUGUGGAGCAGUUAUGCAUGGCAGACCCCUGGUCAUUCUGU